Non-coding RNA from Paramuricea clavata, 293 nucleotides. The record is from the annotation of a GenBank genome assembly. NCBI's taxonomy places the organism in Eukaryota, Metazoa, Cnidaria, Anthozoa, Malacalcyonacea, Plexauridae.
GAUCAGAUCGAUGUUCCUUAUUGUAACAUUACAGGGUCCUUUUUGUAACAUUUCAUGUUACAAAAAGAACAACAUAUGUCCCUUUUGUAACAUAGUAUCCUUUCUGUAACACCGGUCAUUCCUUUCUGUAACAUCAGACAUUACUUUUUGUAACAUUGAGUCCUUUUGGUAACAAUGGUUGUUCCCUUUUGUAACAUAAGCAUCCUUUUUGUAACAUUUGUUCUUCCUUUUUGUAACUUAAGCGUCCUUUUUGUAACAUUGUAGAUCUUCUUUUUGUAACAUAAGUGUCCUUU